UUGACCUCAAAUCAGGUAGGACUACCCGCUGAACUUAAGCAUAUCAAUAAGCGGAGGAAAAGAAACUAACAAGGAUUCCCCUAGUAACUGCGAGUGAAGCGGGACAAGCUCAAAUUUAAAAUCUGGCAGAUGUUUGUCUGUCCGAGUUGUAACCUAGAGAAGUGUAACCUGUGCUGGACCGUGUACAAGUCUCCUGGAAUGGAGCAUCAUAGAGGGUGAGAAUCCCGUCUUUGACAUGGACUACCAGUGCACUGUGGUUGCACACUCAACGAGUCGAGUUGUUUGGGAAUGCAGCUCUAAAUGGGUGGUAAAUUCCAUCUAAAGCUAAAUAUUGGCGAGAGACCGAUAGCGAACAAGUACCGUGAGGGAAAGAUGAAAAGAACUUUGGAAAGAGAGUUAAACAGUAUGUGAAAUUGUUGAAAGGGAAACGCUUGAAGUCAGCUGCAUUAGCUGGGGAUCAAGCCAGCUUUUUUGCUGGGUGUACUUCCUGGUUGAUGGGCCAACAUCAGUUUUGACCAUCAGAGAAAGGCUAAGGGAAUGUGGCACCUUUAUAGGUGUGUUAUAGCCCUUGGUUGUAUGUGAUGGUUGGGACUGAGGACAGCAGUGUGCCGCAAGGCCGGGUUUCGACCACGUUCAUGCUUUGGAUGUUGGCAUAAUGGCUUUAAGCGACCCGUCUUGAAACACGGACCAAGGAGUCUAACAUGCAUGCGAGUGUUUGGGUGGAAAACUCGAGCGCGUAAUGAAAGUGAAAGUUGAGAUCCCUCUCACAGGGGAGCAUCGACGCCCGGACCAGAACUUUUGGGA
Molecule: ribosomal RNA, 804 nt
Filed under: Amanita sturgeonii
Lineage: Eukaryota; Fungi; Basidiomycota; Agaricomycetes; Agaricales; Amanitaceae
Description: Amanita sp. 'sturgeonii' partial 28S ribosomal RNA
Rfam family: Eukaryotic large subunit ribosomal RNA
Source: RNAcentral